This 48-nucleotide non-coding RNA is filed under the name Schistosoma mansoni. Lineage: Eukaryota; Metazoa; Platyhelminthes; Trematoda; Strigeidida; Schistosomatidae. The record is from RNAcentral.
AUGCAGCUGAUGUGUCCUGAAUAGGACGAAACGUGCGUCAAACUGGAU